GUAGGUGGCAAGCGUUGUCCGGAAUUAUUGGGCGUAAAGCGCGCGCAGGCGGUUUCUUUUAAGUUCUGAUGUGAAAGCCCACGGGCUCAACCGUGGAGGGUCAUUGGAAACUGGAGAACUUGAGUACAGAAGAGGAAAGCGGAAUUCCACGUGUAGCGGUGAAAUGCGUAGAGAUGUGGAGGAACACCAGUGGCGAAGGCGGCUUUCUGGUCUGUAACUGACGCUGAGGCGCGAAAGCGUGGGGAGCAAACAGGAUUAGAUACCCUGGUAGUCCACGCCGUAAACGAUGAGUGCUAAGUGUUAGGGGGUUUCCGCCCCUUAGUGCUGCAGCUAACGCAUUAAGCACUCCGCCUGGGGAGUACGGCCGCAAGGCUG
This 375-nucleotide ribosomal RNA is filed under the name uncultured organism. Its description in RNAcentral is "partial 16S ribosomal RNA". It matches the Rfam family "Bacterial small subunit ribosomal RNA", at positions 527 to 896 of the family's 1533-position model. The record is from RNAcentral.